This 1496-nucleotide ribosomal RNA is filed under the name Legionella pneumophila subsp. pneumophila. RNAcentral's name for it is "partial 23S ribosomal RNA". It matches the Rfam family "Bacterial large subunit ribosomal RNA", at positions 1447 to 2925 of the family's 2925-position model. Lineage: Bacteria; Pseudomonadati; Pseudomonadota; Gammaproteobacteria; Legionellales; Legionellaceae. The record is from RNAcentral.
UUUAUAAGUGGUGAAGUGGGGACGAAGAAGGCUAGGUGAGCCAGGCGUUGGUUGUCCUGGUACUUGCAUGUAGGGGGGAAGACUUGGCAAAUCCGGUUUUCCAUAACUCUGAGGUGCGAAGUGGUUCUGACCUUUUGGUACAGAGAAGUCAUUGAUGCCCGGCUUCCAGGAAAAGCUGCUAGCCAUAACUUAUAGAGAACCGUACCGCAAACCGACACAGGUGGACAGGUAGAGAAUACUAAGGCGCUUGAGAGAACUCGGGUGAAGGAACUAGGCAAAAUGGUACCGUAACUUCGGGAGAAGGUACGCCCUUUUGGGUGAGGGCAUUUACUGUCUGAGCUUAAGAGGGCCGCAGAGACCAGGUGGCUGCGACUGUUUAUUAAAAACACAGCACUCUGCAAAUUCGUAAGAAGACGUAUAGGGUGUGACGCCUGCCCGGUGCCGGAAGGUUAAUUGAUGGGGUUAUCUUCGGAGAAGCUCUUGAUCGAAGCCCCGGUAAACGGCGGCCGUAACUAUAACGGUCCUAAGGUAGCGAAAUUCCUUGUCGGGUAAGUUCCGACCUGCACGAAUGGCGUAACGAUGGCCACACUGUCUCCACCCGAGACUCAGUGAAAUUGAAAUCGCUGUGAAGAUGCAGUGUACCCGCGGCUAGACGGAAAGACCCCGUGAACCUUUACUAUAGUUUUGCACUGGACUUUGAUGAUGACUGUGUAGGAUAGGUGGGAGGCUGUGAAGUGAGGACGCUAGUUCUCAUGGAGCCGCCCUUGAAAUACCACCCUGUUGUUAUUGAGGUUCUAACUUGGUCCAGUAAUCCUGGAUGAGGACAGUGUAUGAUGGGUAGUUUGACUGGGGCGGUCUCCUCCCAAAGAGUAACGGAGGAGCACAAAGGUACCCUCGGUACGGUCGGACAUCGUACCAAGAGUGUAAAGGCAAAAGGGUGCUUGACUGCGAGAGUGACGGCUCGAGCAGGAACGAAAGUUGGUCUUAGUGAUCCGGUGGUUCUGAAUGGAAGGGCCAUCGCUCAACGGAUAAAAGGUACUCCGGGGAUAACAGGCUGAUACCGCCCAAGAGUUCAUAUCGACGGCGGUGUUUGGCACCUCGAUGUCGGCUCAUCACAUCCUGGGGCUGAAGCAGGUCCCAAGGGUAUGGCUGUUCGCCAUUUAAAGUGGUACGCGAGCUGGGUUUAGAACGUCGUGAGACAGUUCGGUCCCUAUCUGCCGUGGGCGUAGGAAAAUUGAGAGGAGCUGCUCCUAGUACGAGAGGACCGGAGUGGACGAACCUCUGGUGCACCGGUUGUCACGCCAGUGGCAUGGCCGGGUAGCUAAGUUCGGACGGGAUAACCGCUGAAAGCAUCUAAGCGGGAAGCCUCCCUCAAGAUGAGUUUUCCCAUGAAGCCCGUUGAAGACUACGACGUUGAUAGGCAAGGUGUGGAAGCGCAGUAAUGCGUGAAGCUAACUUGUACUAAUUGGCUGAUUGUCUUGACCAUAUAAUCUGAG